RNAcentral lists this long non-coding RNA (5914 nucleotides) under Gossypium barbadense (sea-island cotton). RNAcentral describes it as "long non-coding RNA (GBAR_LNC004840)". The record is from RNAcentral. Lineage: Eukaryota; Viridiplantae; Streptophyta; Magnoliopsida; Malvales; Malvaceae.
UUUGCAAUUGGUCGUCGAAGCUUUGUCUCAACCGUUAUAAAUACAUACGGGUAAGGAAGAGGUUCGAGAAUGACUACCUCGAAUUACACUAUUAUUUAUAUCACUUUUUACACAUAAUUUUAGCUUGUUUAAUGGUUAAAUCAAAUCAUCUUAUUAUAUAAUUAUGUUUUCUUGCUUGAAUUAAUGAUUUAUGUUUUUUAGUAAUUUUUAUUACAUAUUAGAUGUUGUUCCAAUAGGGUCGGAAGCGUGUAAAUUAUUGUACUAAAAAAUCACACAAAGUUCAAUUCCCAGGGAAGAGAGGUGGAUCACAUGGAUCUCUUAAAUACCAAGUCUUUCCUUAGACAGAAUAUCCCUUCUAUAGUAAUUUAAUAGCACAAUUAAAUACUACUAUUAUACCCUCAAAUAUUGAAAGAAAAAUAGGACAAGAAAGAACACAAGAGUUUUAACGAGGUUCGGUAAAUUAUACCUACGUCCUCGGGCACUAACACCAGAUGAUAACUUUACUAUCUCCAAAGUAUUACAAACAAAUACAAUUCCUUAAGAAUUCUCAAAUGGGAGAAGAGAGAAAACUAAGAGAGAAAGAUUGGUUGGGAUGAAUUGAAAUGAGAAAUGAAAAAGCCUAUUUAUAGUUGAGGUUUAAGGACCAAACAAUAAAUAGCCCAUUAUCUCAAGGACCAAAAAAAAUUAUCCCUUGCCACUUUUCCAAAGUUGGUGGUUGUCAUUAUUGAUUGUCUCCCAUUAAUGUUAAUGGCAACCAUUAUUAAUUGUCUUCCAUUAAUGUUAACAAUCUCCACCUUGAAGAUUUGAUUAGUAUAAUCACAUCUUCACACACUUCCUUCAACUCCCCAAAUUCGAUAAAGCUAUCUUUUGUAGUGCCUACAAAUGCGCUCUCGAGCGCCAUACACCUGAAGGUGCUCAAAUUCUCAGGAUGUUAAUCAAGUUCAAACAAUGAUUAAACUUGAUUGUUGUUACCACCUUGGUCAUCAUAUCUGCGGGAUUAUCUGCUGUCGGAAUCUUCUGAAGUAGAAUUUUUCCUUUUUCAAAGACUUCCCGCACAAAGUGAUAUCUUACGUCGAUAUGCUUGGUUCUUGAAUGAUAGACUUGAUUUUUCGCUAAAUGAAUAGCGCUCUGACUGUCACAAUAUAAACUUAUGUGACUUUGAACAACUCCUAAGUCUUUCACAAUCCAUUAAGCCAAAUAGCCUCCUCAACAGCUUCUGUAACUGCCAUAUAUUCUGCCUCUGUAGUAGACACAGCUACUGUAGACUGUAAGGUAGACUUCCAACUCACUAGGGCUUUCGCAAGAGUAAACAGAUACCCCGUAGUUGAACGACGUUUAUCUAAAUCACCAGCAAAGUCGGAAUCAACAUAUCCAACUACAAAUUGACCAAGUGCUUCAUCCUGUUCAAAAAUUAAACCAACAUCUACGGUUUUUCGAAGAUACCGUAGAAUCCAUUUCACAGCUUGCCAAUGUCCUUUUCCAGGAUCAUGCAUAUACCUGCUCACAACUCCAACAGCUUGUGAAAUGUCAGGCCUCGUACACACCAUCGCAUACAUCAAACUCCCAACUGCAUUAGCAUAUGGGACUUUCGCCAUAUAUUCUCUUUCAUCUUCAGUCUUCGGAGAUAAUUGAGCACUAAGUUUCAAAUGAGAAGCAAGUGGGGUACUUACAUGUUUUGUGUUUUCAUUUACACCAAAACAUUAUAAUACCUUUUUCAGAUAUUGCUUCUGAUUUAAACAGAGCUUGCCUCUCGGUCUAUCUCUACUUAUCUCCAUGCCGAGAAUCUUCUUGGCCUCACCUAGAUCUUUCAUCUCGAACUCUUGAUUCAACUGAGCCUUCAGCUUAUCUAUCUCUUUUUGGCUCUUCGAAGCGAUUAACAUAUCAUCAACAUACAAGAGUAGAUAAAUGAAAGAUCCGUCAUGCAGCUUCUGCAAAUACACACAAUUGUCAUAUUUGCUUCUUGUGUACUUCUGCCUUCUCAUAAAGCUAUCAAAUCGCUUGUACCACUGCCUCGGGGAUUGCUUCAAUCCAUAUAGCGAUUUGUUCAGCUUACAAACCCAAUUUCUACCACCAACAUCUAUGUAUCCUUCGGGCUGAGUCAUAUAGAUCUCCUCUUCUAACUCACCAUGCAAGAAAGCCGUCUUAACAUUAAGUUGAGCUAGCUCCAAAUUCAACUGUGCUACCAAGGCCAACAAAAUUCUAAUGGAGGAAUGCUUCACAACAGGGGAAAAUACAUCAUUGUAGUCAAUUCCCUCCUUCUGAGCGUAGCCUUUAGCUACCAAUCUUGCCUUGUAGCGAAUAUCCUUCUUGCUAGGAGAUCCAUCUUUCUUUGCGAAUACCCACUUGCAUCCGAUUGCCCUUUUACCUUUCAGUAAUUACGCCAACUCCCAAGUAUUGUUCUUCCGGAGAGACUGCAUUUCUUCAUCCAUGGCGCUUUUCCAUUUAUCACUUUCUAAGCUUUGCAUUGCUUCUUGAUAAGUGAUAGGAAUAUCAUCAACAACGGGAAGGGCGUAGGCCACCAUAUCAGUAAAUCGAGCAGGUUUACGAAUUUCUCUCCGUGGCCUUGCAACUGCAACUGGUUCUGGUGUACUUAGUGGUUCUUGGGUCAGAACCUCUUCAACCUCUAAUUCCUCUAUUGUGACUGGAGAAUUAGACUUAUUAACUGGGCAAAUCCCCAUCUGCUCAAACUCCACCUGUUUUGGAGUACACUCCACCUGCUGUGGAGUAUUGCUCGUCUGAAUAUCUUUAUCUGCUACCUUUUUCAAUGUGGCAGAUUCAUCAAAGGUAACAUCUCUGCUACAGAUCAUUUUCUUUGUGCUUAAACACCAAAGACGACAUCCCUUCACUCCAGAAGUGAUUCCCAUAAAGAGAGCUUUCUUUGCCCUCGGAUCUAACUUUGACUCCUUCACAUGGUAAUAUGCAGUGGAUCCAAACACAUGUAAGGAAUCAUAAUCUGUAGCCGGUUUUCCAGACCAUACCUCCAUAGGAGUUUUUCUUUCUAGUGCAGAUGAUGGCAAACGAUUAACAAGAUGGCCAGCGUAUGUCACAGCCUCAGCCCAAAAUUACUUGCCCAACCCAGCAUUGGACAACAUACAUCGAACUUUCUCCAGCAAUGUUCGAUUCAUACGCUCUGCCAAUCCAUUCUGCUGUGGUGUAUCCCUAACUGUGAAGUGUCGAACAAUACCAUACUCUUGGCACACAUCGAAGAACAGAUCACUUUUAUAUUCCCCUCCAUUGUCCGUCCUAAGCCGCUUGAUUUUCUUGCCAGUCUGGUUUUCGAUCAUAGUUUUCCAUUUAAGAAAAACUCUAAGCACUUCAUCCUUAGUUCUCAUGGUAUACACCCAAACUCUUCUGGAAAAGUCAUCAACAAAAGUAACAAAGUAGUGUUUUUCUCCCAAUGAAGGUGUCUUGGAAGGCCCCCACACAUCUGAGUGAACAUAUUCCAAAAUACCUUUUGUAUUAUGGAUAGCAGUACCGAAUUUCACUCUCUUUUGCUUUCCCAGAACACAAUGCUCGCAAAAUUUUAAUUUGCAAGCCUUUGCACCUUUCAACAAUCCUUGCUUUGCCAGAAUUUGCAAGGAUUUUUCGCUAGCAUGUCCCAACUUCAUAUGCCACAACUGCAUUGAGUCCAAUUCUUUGUUACCGGAAGCUGUAGCGACUGCUCUAAUAACUGUACUACCUUGGUAGUAAUACAAGUUAUUUUUCCUGAUGCCCUUCAAUAUCACAAGUGCGCUAGAUGUCACUUUCAAAAUCCCAUCUCUCAUAGUAACAACUGAACCAUUGGAUUCCAAGGCUCCCAAUGAGAUGAGAUUUUUCUUCAAACUGGGCACGUACCGAACAUCAGUCAGGACUCUGGUUGAUCCAUCUUGAUUCUUUAAUUGGAUUGAACCUAUCCCAACAGUUUUACAGGCAUUGUUAUUACCCAUAUAAACAACUCCUCCAUUUAGUUCUACUAAAUCAGAGAACCACUCCCGGUUAAGGGACAUAUGAUAGGUACAACCCGAAUCCAAUAUCCACUCAUCUGAAUGGAACGACGAUGAUGAUGCAACCAGUGAUAGUUCAGAGUCACUAGUAUCAUGCUUAGCAACACAAGCAUCUACAGUAGCUUUUCCCUUAUUCUUCAGCUUUGGACAAUUUUUCUUCCAGUGGCCUUUCUCAUGACAAAAAGCACAUUCAUCUUUCCCGAGUUUGGACUUUGACUUUGAUCUCUCCUUUUGAGUUUUCUUCCGAGUGUAUGAACGACCUCGGACUACUAAAGCUUCUGUAUCUCUGAUUGAGUUUUUCUGUUUGUUCUUCUUUCUCUGUUCAUAACUGUAUAAGGCCGCACAGACUUCGCUCAGAGAUAUAUCACUCCUGCCAUGAAGUAGAGUAGUUUCUAGGAACUCAAACUCCUAAGGAAGUGACCCCAACAGCAUCAAAGCCAAAUCUUCAUCUUUGAAUGUCUCAUCCAUAUUCAGCAAAUCAGUGACUAACUGAUUAAAUUUGGUGAUGUGAUCAUUCAUUGUGGUACUUGGGACGUAUGUGAAGCGAAACAGUCUUUUCUUCAAGUGGAGCUUAUUUUGACUGUUUUUCUUCAAAAAAUUUUCUUCAAGUGCCACCCACAACUUAUUUGCAGAAGUCUCCUUUGAAAAAGCAUACAUCUGCUCUCGAGAAAGGCAUGAUCGAAUUGUGCCACAUGCCAACCGAUUGAUCGCCUUCCAAUCUUUCUCCUGUACAUCAUCUGGUUUCUUUUCAUCAAUGGCAAUGUCUAGACCCUGCUGAAAAAGGGCAUCUAGAACCUCACUUUGCCACAUACCAAAAUGGCCCGUGCCAUCAAAGAUCUUCACGGCCAAUCUUGCAUUUGCAAUUGUCGGUCUUGUCCACAUGGACGAUGUUGAAGCUCCUACACCGACCGUUUUCUCCAUAAUCUUUCAAUAUACCUAAGGAAAUCUUUUCUGAUGUGGAAGAUCAGUUCAAACUGCAACCACAGAGCAUACUACGAUUAACCUUCGGCUCUUGAUACCACUUGUUGUUCCAAUAGGGUCGGAAGCGUGUAAAUUAUUGUACUAAAAAAUCACACAAAGUUCAAUUCCCAGGGAAGAGAGGUGGAUCACAUGGAUCUCUUAAAUACCAAGUCUUUCCUUAGACAGAAUAUCCCUUCUAUAGUAAUUUAAUAGCACAAUUAAAUACUACUAUUAUACCCUCAAAUAUUGAAAGAAAAAUAGGACAAGAAAGAACACAAGAGUUUUAACGAGGUUCGGUAAAUUAUACCUACGUCCUCGGGCACUAACACCAGAUGAUAACUUUACUAUCUCCAAAGUAUUACAAACAAAUAGAAUUCCUUAAGAAUUCUCAAAUGGGAGAAGAGAGAAAACUAAGAGAGAAAGAUUGGUUGGGAUGAAUUGAAAUGAGAAAUGAGAAGGCCUAUUUAUAGUUGAGGUUUAAGGACCAAACAAUAAAUAGCCCAUUAUCUCAAGGACCAAAAAAAUUUAUCCCUUGCCACUUUUCCAAAGUUGGUGGUUGUCAUUAUUGAUUGUCUCCCAUUAAUGUUAAUGGCAACCAUUAUUAAUUGUCUUCCAUUAAUGUUAACAUUAGAUAUCUAAAUAAGGUGAUAGGGUUAUGUAGGUUAAAUUGGGAGCUAAAAAUGUACAUACUGGCUGAAACUGAUGCCCAGGUUACUACAUCAAAACACCGAUGUCGCAACACCAAAGAAAGAAGCAAAAAGAAGUAUUAGAACAAAAUUGCCUAUUGUGUCGCGACACCGACCUAUGUUGCAACAUGUGAGGUGGAUGUUGCAACAAGGCUUCUGUGCGUUGAAAUAGUAGAUCUAAAGAAGAACUAGAGUGAAGCAUUAUCGAGCUACCAAGCAGAGAUGAUAAAGAAUCUUCAAGAUUAUUUACCGAAGUUGAAAUUAAACAUCUUGUUUCAUGCCCAG